This 464-nucleotide ribosomal RNA is filed under the name uncultured bacterium. RNAcentral describes it as "partial 16S ribosomal RNA". It matches the Rfam family "Bacterial small subunit ribosomal RNA", at positions 29 to 507 of the family's 1533-position model. The record is from RNAcentral.
ACGCACGCUGGCGGCGUGCUUAACACCUGCAAGUCGCACGGAAAGGCCCUGCUUGCAGGGUACUCGAGUGGCGAACGGGUGAGUAACACGUGGGUGAUCUGCCCUGCACUUCGGGAUAAGCCUGGGAAACUGGGUCUAAUACCGGAUAGGAGCCAUUUUUAGUGUGAUGGUUGGAAAGUUUUUUCGGUGUAGGAUGAGCUCGCGGCCUAUCAGCUUGUUGGUGGGGUAAUGGCCUACCAAGGCGGCGACGGGUAGCCGGCCUGAGAGGGUGGACGGCCACAUUGGGACUGAGAUACGGCCCAGACUCCUACGGGAGGCAGCGGUGGGGAAUAUUGCACAAUGGGCGCAAGCCUGAUGCAGCGACGCCGCGUGGGGGAUGACGGCCUUCGGGUUGUAAACUCCUUUCGCUAGGGACGAAGCUUUUUGUGACGGUACCUAGAUAAGAAGCACCGGCUAACUACGUG